GUGGUUGAGCUGAAGGCUUUCAACAAGUUUGAGAACACAUCUGACGCUCUCUCUGCCGCAACCCUGAUUAUUGAUAGCAAUCCUAGCAAUGGUCUGCGCAAGUUCUUGCAGAAGCACUGUGAGGGUGAAACAUUAGCUGUUGCUGAUUCUAAGCUUGGAAAUGCUAUAAAGGAAAAGCUGGUCAGUGGUGCUCCUUAUCUUUUUAUAUGUUUGUAGAGUGAGUGGCUAUUAUUGCCAUAAUUUGACUGGGCCAAGGGAUGGGCCGAGAGUAACAUGGGCUGAAGGAAAUUAUCGUAAUGGUCUGCGAAUCAGCUUCUGUGCGAACGCGUCAAGGGCCGGGAUGACCAUUUAUCUAGUAAGGAUAGUUUAAAUAUAGGAAGUUCGAGAUUGUAUCGUAAUCAGCUAGGGUUAGUUAAAAAAGAUCAAGUCUCCGGUCUAUAAAUAUGUAUCGUGAGAUUCAAUAAAUCAUUCAUUCACAACAAACUCUCGGCGCAUCGCCACCCCUUCCCCGAGGGCUUUCUCCAUGUAAUCGACAUGCUGCUCCGAUCAUGUUCCGCAUGAUCGGAGCAGCGUUACGUUUAUCUGCUUAUCUUUGUGUUUCUCGUACUGAAACGUUGUUGAUAGCGAGCAACACUAGUUAUCUUAAACGAUUAUGAUAUUGUAUUGGUUUUGAUUAGUACAUCCAUGAUCUGCUUGCUGUUCGUAAUCGUUUAGCUGCCCUUGUACAUGAUCCUAGGUAUAAGGGCAGCACCUUGCUCUGUUCUUGCUUAGUAGAUCUAAUUUGUUAUGGUAGUUCUUUGUGCUACAAGGAAUUGGUUUAGUAUCCAUAUGAUUAGGCCCUUCAAACAGGUUAAAUGUUCCGGCUGCAUGAUUGGUGCUUUAUGGUAAUCUAAUGAGGGAUUGUUCCGGGAAUCGACUUGUUAGUUGGUUUUUAGACCUCUUUUUUUGGGUUAGCGUAUUGUUAUCUUUCAUGUUCGUUAGGCUUAACCACGCGUAGGAUGUUCCGGUUAUACGGUGAAAACCUUUACCGUCGCAGAUUGGAUUAGCUUGGUAAUUACAGAGCAUGUUUUUAUCUUUUCUAUCGGAUUCGUACAAAACGUUUAAAUAUUAAUCGAUCCUAUCUGUUAAACGGGGCAAUCGGUUUCUUUUAGCCGAUUCUGAGAGGUACCCAAAGGUCCAACCUGGCACGAAGAUAGGUCCGACCUAGUACAGUGACUCCGUCGGCUUCUUUAGCUGAUCUCGGGAGUCGUUGUAAGGGCCGAUCACGGCUCGGACUAAUGUUUGACAUGGCUGUGUAUGCAGGAAAAUAACUGACAAAAAUUUCUACACCUUCCUGAUCAGGUAUAGGUCAGGUGGCACGCCUAGCACUUCCUCAUGUCAGGACGUGUGCCGGACUUCUAGGCCGUUGAUCGAGGGAUCGGGACCCACCAGCAGUCUCGGAAGCCUCCCGGCUCCUCGUGUUGCCUGUCGCUGCUCGCCGGUGGGUUUUAACCGACAACACAUUCUGGCAUGCCUGGUGGGACCUCAUCGACUUCAUCAACUACAUCGACUACUUCCUUCGACUACAUCGACUACAAUCGGCUGCAUCAUUUUCUUCGGCUUCAUCAACUUCCGUUGUCAAGAUGCCGAACGAGAACCCGAUUACUUUUGAAGAGUUGUCUGAUGAGCACAAGCAGAGGUAUAAUGAAAUAAAAGCUGCUUUUGAAGCCGAUCUCAUCGGCUCAUUUGAAAGAACCCGUCACAACGGCAUCAGAUGGAAGGGAUUUUCAUCUGAAGGAGCACUCAACGAAGUGGAUCUAUCUACUCCUACGGAAGAACGCACGCGAGCUCUCCGCCAGGAAGUUAACUAUAUGGUGGCUCACUCAUUACAUCGACAUUCUGAGAGUUUGGUGAACACCCUUGAGCGCGUCGCGGUACGUGUGGUGCAGGAAAUUAUGAAAUACCAGUACUCUCCAACAGGACCUGCUUUAGGGAGCCACAAAGGGGAGUUGCCUUCUCUAGCCAGACCACCAGUGCCCUAUGCAUUUGCAGCCCCAGAACAAUAUAAUUCUCCAGCAUUUGUUAUAUACAAGGUGCGAGGUGACCCUGCUGAUCACCAAUUCUUCAGUGAACCCCCCAAGGAGGUUCCACAUGGAUAUGUUUGUGCAUAUAUACCAGAUGGUGGUAACCCGACACAACCCACGCAGAGAAUAACUGGAGGAACAUCUGUAGUCGAUGCCGACAAACAGGCAUGGCUGACUACUUAUGCGACAGGGCCGAGUCAUGAAGGUAUGCACUCGGCCCCAGGAAUUCACACAGUAGAUCAGAUUGGUGCCAUUUUGAGAGAUCAAUUUGGCAUUCUCCCAAGAAGGCGAGCGAUCGGCUACACCAAGCCGUAUCCAAGUGAGUAUGACUUGAUUCCCCUGCCACCCAAGUAUCGGCUAUCUGAGUUCACCAAGUUCAGCGGAGCAGAAGGAUCUAGCUCCAUAGAACACGUGAGCCGAUAUCUGCGCAGCUUGGGAUGAUUUCGGUGUCGGAUCCGUUGCGGGUGAGGUUUUUCUCGCAGUCUCUCACAGGGCCGGCUUUUGGAUGGUACACAUCGUUGGGUCCUGAUUCUAUCCGCACCUGGAAGCAGCUAGAGGAACAGUUCCAUAUACAAUAUCAUUUAGAAGCUGCAGAAGCUGGGAUUGCUGAUUUGGCACAGGUCUGCCAGAAGCGGGGAGAAACAGUGGCGGAGUACAUCCAGCAUUUCAGAGAAGUCAAGAACCGGUGCUACUCGAUUCGAAUUUUAGAAAAAGAGGCAGUUGAAUUGGCGUCUUUGGGACUAGUAAAACCAAUCAGAGAUCUGGUUUUCCAGCUAGAAUUCAACUCUUUGGUUCAUCUGGUACAGAAGAUGACAGCAUACGAGCAACGCCACCCAGAGUUAUACCAAGACAAGUUCAAACGUCAAGUAGUAAUGGUUGACGCUGAAGACUCUGAAGAUUCUGAUGAUGACCAAGAGAUAGCAGUUGUAGAGUGGGCACGGGGGGCAAAACCCGUGUCCUGCAAGUGGGUGAAACAACAAGGGCCUUCGAAAGGAUUUGACUUUGACGUAAGCAAAGUCGAACAAAUAUUCGACUUGCUCUUGAAGGAGAAACAAUUGAAACUCCCUGAAGGUUGCAAGAUCCCAACAGCUCAGGAGCUCCAGGGAAGAUCAUACUGCAAGUGGCAUAACUCUUUCACCCACAGUACUAGUGACUGCAAAGAACUCCGGCGAGAGAUACAAUCGGCUAUUGAGCAAGGCCAAUUAAUCUUGGGGCAAUACGCCAUGAAGGUUGAUACUCAACCAUUCCCAAAUGUAAACAUGGUGGAAGGGUACGACCGGUCAACACAUCAUCAGCUGGAUUUUACGUUCGGAAUUAACAUGGCAGGACGCACAUCACGACAUCAAGAGGCCGAUUCCUGCGAUCGGCCCCAAAAAGAAGAAAGGGACUAUAUCACCGAAGAGCAGGUGAGGCACGUCAGGAACCAGCGACCGGUUUCCUCUCAUCUUCUGAGAAGGUACCAGUAUCACUAUCAACAGCAUCUCCAACGCGAAACUGAAGAGGAAGAAUACGAGCGGCGCACUGGGAAACGCCUCAGGAAGCGAGAGGAUACGCGAGAUCAUUGGUAUUGCCCGUUCUUCAAAUACUGUUGGGAUUCUGGUAUUGUCGGUGUUUAACCGGCUGCCCACCGAGGGAUAUACCCAAGGUGGUAAGUUUUGGGUGAGGCGACGCUGAGAUCAGAAACUCGAAGGUGCAAAGAACACAAGACUUUAGACAGGUUCAGGCUGCACGGAGCGUAACACCCUACGUCCUGUAUGGUGGUUUGUAUUCUCUUUGGUGUAGAUUGACCUAAUGAUCUCCUUCUUUUAGGGGGGUCCCUGACCUCCCUUAUAUAUCCGAGAGGCCGGAGUUACAAAGAUGCUAACCAACCCCCGUCGAGGGAUCAUACCAGAACACAUCUCGAGAAGAUCCUCUCCGUGUUGGUUAGCUCUAUCUCCUAUUUAAACGGGAUAAACAAGAGAUAAAUAAAAUGAAUAAGAGAUAAGACGGACUUAAUCUCUUAAACUACGUGAUGUGCCCAACCCGGUGGCCCGGGUCUGACAAGCCCCCGAGCUCUUCGUAGCUGAGCACUGCAGGCUUAUCGAGUACUUUCGAAGCAGUCUUCGACUUCUUCUGAAGCUUCGUCUUGAAGUCCUUCUUCGAGUACUUGUUUGGCUGCAUCGAAGCUAUGAGGUGCUCAUGCCCCGAAUUUCUGUUAUGGCGUGCGAUUUAAAAAUCGCACUCCAUAUGGAGUAGCCCCCGAGCCUUAGUUUGAAUCGGAGAAUCAGGCUAAGGGUCCCAUUUGUCUGUGACCCUACUUAUCCUUCAAAAGAUUUGAAAAAAUAAGUAGUCGAUGCCACGUAUCCCGCAGCCCCCGCGUCAUGCGCGACAAGAAGUCGAUUUAUAUAUGUAUAUGUUUGCACGUGACACUGGCCAUCGUGGAAGUAAGAAGGCAUGUACAACCCGAGUCAUGUGGCACAUGGCCUCCAAAUUGAUUCGGGGAAAGAAGAUCUUCUGAGCCCCCGGGGAAUUAGCGAUCACCGGGCCCCGACUUAAGGGUAGAACUUGCGCAGGUUCUGAACGUUCCAGGAGUUCGGGACAUCCUGACCCUCAGGGUAUUGUAGUCGAUAAGACUCUGGCCUUGUGACCUGCUUGACGACGAACGGGCCAUCCCACCUUGAAUUGAGCUUGUGUAGGCCAGACUCGUCCUGAAUACGACACAAGACCAAAUCACCGACGUUGAAUGACCGUUCCCUGACGUUGCGAUCAUGGUAUCGCCGGAUCCCCUGCAGGUACCGGGCUGACUGAACAAGGGCGGUACAGCGAGCUUCUUCCACAGAAUCGAGCUCUAACUGCCGCGCCUCGUCCGCCUCGCCUUCAUUGUACAUUUCGACCCUUGGAGACUUCCACAUGAUAUCGGCUGGUAGGAUAGCUUCGGAUCCAUACACGAGGAAAAAAGGUGUUUGUCCUGUGGCUUUGGACGGCUAAGUCCGAAGCCCCCAGAUGACAUGUGGCAGCUCAUGCACCCAUUUGCCUCCCUUCUUGCUAUUUGCAUCGUAAAGUCUCUUCUUGAGGCCGUCAGUGAUCAAGCCGUUCGCCCUUUCGACUUGUCCGUUGGCCCUUGGGUGUGCAACCGAGACAUAUUUAACUUCAAUGCAAGCAUUCUCGCAGAACUCCCAGAACUGGUUCACCGUGAAGUUUGAUCCCAGGUCUGUGAUGAUGGAGUUGGGGAAGCCGAACCGAUGCAGAAUAUCUGAUAUGAAAUCGACGACCCGAUCUGGUGUGAGCUUGGCUAUCGGCUUGUACUCGAUCCACUUAGUAAACUUGUCGAUAGCCACCAGGACAAGGGUAAAACCGCCUGGUGCCGUUGUGAAGGGCCCGAUCAUGUCAAGACUCCAACAGGCAAAAGGGCAGGAUGGCAGUAUGGUGAUGAGGCUGUGAGCUGGAACAUGCGUCUGUUUGCCGAAGAAUUGACAAUUUUGGCAUCUGCGCACGAGAUCCUCCGCGUCGGUCACUGCGGUAGGCCACCAGAAACCGGCUCUGUACGCUUUUCCCACCAGUGUUCUCGAAGCCGCAUGGUUGCCGCAGAUGCCAUCGUGGAUCUCCCGCAGUAUGUCGUAGCCAUCGUCCUUUGUGACGCACUUCAUGAGAACCCCUGACCGAGCGCCUCGCCGAUAGAGCUUGCCGUCGACCAGGACGAAACCCUUGCUUCUUUGCAAGAUGCGAGCUGCUUCGGUGCUCCUAGCGUCGAUUCCUGCUGGUAAUCGUUGAUCUCGAAUGAAGUCGAUAAAAGCCCCUCGCCAGUCCUCCUCCAGCACCAUAACCUCUCGAUCGGGUUGUUGGGGACCCGCGUCGAUGGCUACCUGCGGAGAAGAUUUGAUGGAUGGCUGUUUGAGCUCCUGGACAAAGACUCCCGGCGGGACCUGGGCACGCGUGGACCCCAGUUUGGACAGAAUGUCCGCGCCAACGUUGUGCUCCCGCAGUACAUGAUGAACCUCCAGGCCGGAGAACUUGCUUUCCAACUUGCGCACUUCCUGCACAUAAGCAUCCAUUGUCUCCUUAUUGCAGUCCCAUUCCUUGUUGACCUACUGAACAACAAGAAGAGAGUCGCCAUAUACAAGUAUUCGCUUGAUCCCUAGUGAUAUCGCCAAACGAAGCCCGUGAAGCAAAGCUUCAUACUCGGCUUCAUUGUUGGAUACCGCCCACAGGAUCUGAAGGACAUAUUUCAACUGCUCACCUCGGGGAGAAAUAAGCAGAACCCCAGCACCGCCGCCGUCGAGCUUGAGGGACCCAUCAAAAUACAUGGUCCAGUGCUCUGGCCUGUCCACUGGAGUUGGGACUUGAUUCUCCCUCCAUUCAGCCAUAAAGUCGACUAGAGCCUGUGACUUGAUUGCAGUGCGUGGCUUGAAGUCUAUUGACAAAGCCCCCAGUUCCACUGCCCACUUGGAUAUGCGCCCCGUGGCAUCUUGAUUAUGAAGAAUAUCCGCCAGCGGGAAGUCCGUGAUCACAGUGAUCUUGUACUCAUCGAAGUAAUGGCGCAGCUUUCUUGAUGUAAUUAAGAUUGCAUACAAAAGCUUUUGAACAGUAGGAUACCGUACCUUGGAUUCGGAGAGGACCUCGCUGACGAAGUAGACAGGCCUCUGCACUCCAAACGCAUGGCCUUCUUCGCCUCGCUCGACUACAAUAGCACUGCUGACGACAUGAGUUGUUGCCGCGAUGUAAAGUAGUAGAUCCUCCUCUGGCAACGGUGCUGUGAGGAUUGGAGGUGACUGCAGAUGAUGUUUCAGAUCUUGCAAGGCCCGCUCAGCCUCCUCCGUCCAUUGGUACUUAUCCUGGCGUUUCAGGAGCUUGAAGAAAGGUAGUCCUCUCUCCCCGAGCCGGGAGAUGAACCUGUUCAGAGCCGCUAUACAACCUGUUAACUUUUGCACAUUCUUGAUUGUGGCCGGAGCCUCCAUAUCAGUGAUGGCCGUGAUCUUCACAGGGUUGGCUUCAAUGCCCCGAUUGCUGACGAUGAACCCGAGCAAUUUUCCUGAAGGUACUCCAAAGACGCACUUGGUGGGAUUGAGUUUCCAACGAAAUCUGCGCAGACUGCUGAAUAUUUCCUCCAAAUCUGCGAUCAAGUUAUCGGAAUCCCUAGUCUUGAUGACCACGUCAUCCACAUAGGCCUCAACAUUCCGGUGCAGCUGAUCCACGAAACACAUCUGGAUCGCACGCUGGUAUGUUGCUCCUGCGUUCUUCAACCCGAAAGACAUUGUUUUGUAGGCGUAAGUCCCCUACGGGGUGAUGAAUGCAGUCUUGAUUUGGUCCUCCUCCUUGAAGGCGAUCUGAUGAUAUCCUGAGUAACAAUCAAGAAAACAAAGAAGGACACAACCAGCCGUCGAAUCGACAACUUGGUCAUUGCGCGGCAGCCCAAAAUGAUCUUUUGGGCAAUGCUUGUUGAGAUCGGUGUAGUCGACACACAUUCUCCAUUCAUUGUUCUUUUUCUUUACAAGGACGGGAUUCGCUACCCACUCUGAAUGGAUUACUUCUUUAAUGAAUCCAGCCGCGAGAAGUUUAGCGAUCUCCCAUUUAAUGGCCUCACGCUUGUCGUGGGCAAACCUCCGCAGGCGUUGCUUCUUAGGCGUAGCCUUCGGAUGUACAUUCAAAGCAUGCUCGAUCAACUCCCUAGGCACCCCUGGCAUAUCCGCUGGUUUCCAUGCGAAUAUGUCUCGGUUAGCCUGAAGAAAACUGACGAGCGCGAGUUCCUAUUUGUCACCCAAGCCCGCACCGAUGACGGCGGUCUUAGAUGAAUCUCCCUCCUGGAGCUGGAUCGUCUUGAGGGCCACGUCAUCAGUCGACUGGAUGCUCGACUUGUUGGCCUUCUUGGAAGGAAUCUCCAGCCCGGUCUGGGAGAGCUGCUGCGCGGCCGCGAGUACUUCUCCCGAAGCAUCUGGCACGCGAGUAGUCGAAGCGUAUUGGAUCGCCUCCUGAUUGCAGUCGUACGACUUCUUCAAGUCGCCGCGAAGGGUGAGUACUCCACCGAGUCCUGGCAUCUUAAGAAGCAGAUAGACAUAAUGCGGCACUGCCAUAAACUUGGCAAGUGCCGGUCGACUCAGUAUUGCAUGGUAAGAAGAGUCAAAAGUAGCCACUUCGAACUUGAGAAUUCAGUACGAUAAUUCUCCCGCGUGCCGAAGGUGACUGGGAGAACCACCGUACCAAGCGGGUGCGCCGCAUUACCUGGAACGAUGCUGUAAAAGGGGGACUUGCUGGGAACCAGCAUAUCCUUGAAAUCCAGGCCCAUCUUCUUCAAAGUGCUGACGAAGAUGAGAUUGAGCCCGCUCCCGCCAUCGAUGAGGACCUUGGUAAGCUUGACCUCCGCCACCACAGGAUCCAGGACCAAGGGGAACUUACCAGGCUCGGAAAAGCUCGUCCACUGGUCAUCACGAGAGAACGAGAUGGGGACCUCCGACCAAUGAAGUGGUCGUGGUACCGCCGGCUCGAUGGACAAAAUCUCUCGGAGGAGCAGCUUCUGAUCCCGCCUGGAACAGAAAUCCUCACCCCCCCGAAGAUGACGUUGACCACCUUGGACGCAUCCUGAAAUUUCGGGUUGCGCCCGUGAUCCUCCUGAUCAUCAUCCUCGGAUUCUUUGUAAGCAGACUUCUUGUUCUUCUUGCCGCCACCAGAGUUGCUGAACGUCCUCCGAAGGUGGUAGCAGUCGAUAGCGGCAUGGUUGGCGCCCGGGUGCCACGGGCACUUCUUCUGCAGGAGCUUCUCGAACUCCUCCUGAGUUGUUGACUUCUUGCCUCGUGAAAGACGAUCGAUAGCCGCGAUGACAUCAUCUGGCUUUCGUUUCCGGGGUGGACCCGAAAAGUCCCGCUGGCCUUUGUCGCUGCGGUUGUCGUUUGGGCGCCGCAGAUUGCUAUCUUGACGCCGCGGGAACCGCUCCCGCAUCUUCUCCUCCUGCUCGGACCAAUCGUACAUCAUAUCACGAAGGCCCGCAACAGUUUUCAGCCUGUUCCGCCCGAAGUCUCUGUAUAUGCCCGGGUCGGUGAUGCCGUUGUAGAAGCAGUCGAUGAUGUCCUCCUCCGAGAUGUUCGCGAUGGUGGCGCGGACGUCGAAGAAGCGACGCGUGUAGGACCGCAGAAGUUCGCUACGUUCUUGCUUGCACUGGGCAAGAUCGUGUCGAGUACCUGCUCGGGGAAUCGCUCCCUGGAAAUUGUCGAUGAAGACCUUCUUAAGUCGUUCCCAGGAGUCGAUGGAGUUGCUGCCGAGGCUCUCCAGCCAAGUGAGCGGUGCAGGGUCCAAAGCCAUCGGGAAGUAGACGACUUUGGUGACAUUCGAGCCCCCCGCGACCUCAAUGGCCGUGGAGUAGCAGCGGAGCCACUGCUGGGGAGCCUGCUUGCCGUCGUACUUGGUGAUGCCGAUCGGCUUGAAGCCCUCUGGGUACUUGUAGCUGCUGAAACGAGCAGAGAAAGCAGGAAAUCGAUCGCUACAGUCAGUACCUUCAGCUUCGACUUCCUCGCGGGUCUUGCGCCUGGAGGAGAUCACGGUGCGCGCAUCGCGACCUUCAUUGAUGUGCUGGCGCAAAUCCUCCGGAGGAGGUCAUCGACUAGCCUAUCGCAUAUGACCCCCUUGCGGUGGCUGUUGCCUCCCGCCAGGGGCCUGGCUCCCACGUGCGUUGUCAUUGCUGAUCUGGUGUUGAGGACGACCACCGGCCGAUCGACUGCGAGCCUGACUUCGACUCUCGUCCACGCGCUCUUCCCGGAUGAUAGACGCCGGAUUAUGUUGAUCCAGCUGGAUCCAAGCCCUCUGCGCGUAGAGGAGUGCGCGACGUACCUCCAGGUCGUGGCUGCGCUCGAGGAUGGCCGUGACUCUGGCGAUGUUGGCCACCGGAGUCCUGAAGCCCCGCUCGCUUGCGGCAGCAAACUCAAGGUCGAGCUCGCGAUGCAUAGAUCGCCUUCGCUCGUUGGCUCUCCUCCGCCGGAUUGUGCGGGCCCUGUUCCUGGCCCUCCGCGCCUCACGAUCAGCAUCGCUCUCGUUACCGGCGUUGGCCGUGAUCUCAUCUUUAGAGAUCGCUUCAAAGUUUUCGAUUGGAAAAUCCCCACCGUCCUCGCCUCCUUCGGCCAUUAGCACCUGGCGGGAGGAAAGCUCAUGAGAACUUUCGUCGACUAACUCAGUCGACCCCUCCGCCGCGGUUGCCAAUGGCCUGCCCUCUUGGAAGGGCAAUGGCUCGAGGUGAGCCACCAGCCGACUCUCUGCCUCGAGUAGGUUGGAGAGCAUCAUGCCCCUCCAAUGCACAAUGUGCCCCUUCGGCAAGGAGGUGAUCACCAAAUCACCGGGACCAGAACAUCCCGAAGCCCCCCGACACGCGGUGACUUCAGGAUUUCCAUCCCGAAGUAGCAGGUCCAGAUCCUUCUCUAACAUGGAGAGGGAUCCAGAUGCGUUGGCCUCCUGAAGAUCAGUGGCCGGUUCGCACAAGCCGGGUUGAGUCCGACCAUGCGAAUCCCUAGAUUGGAACAAGUCCAAACCAGGGGAAUUUGUCGCGACACCAGAAGAAGUCGAGCUUGGAACAGGUUCCAUCUCGACCUGUGCCGCGGAAGCAUGGAGCGACGAGUUGUCGAGCUCGUUGACGAACUUGUCGAGGCCGCUGCGAGGAUCCGCAGCGACGGUUUUCGGCGUCAUGUCGACGAGGAAUCGCCGAAAGUUGCCCGCACCAUCUGCGAUGCAAACCCACGAGCCAAAAACGAACGUCGUACCCUGAGAGGGAACUGACCUGAUGAAAUUGAAAGAUGCCAUCGAGCUCGCCGGUGGAUAUUCGACGCGCUCCCCUAUCUGGCACGCCAGCUGUCAGUGUUUAACUGGCUGCCCACCGAGGGAUAUACCCAAGGUGGUAAGUUUUGGGUGAGGAGACGCCGAGAUCAGGAACUCGAAGGUGCAAAGAACACAAGACUUUAGACAGGUUCGGGCCGCACGGAGCGUAACACCCUACGUCCUGUAUGGUGGUUUGUAUUCUCUUUGGUGUAGAUUGACCUAAUGAUCUCCUUCUUUUAGGGGGGGUCCCUGACCUCCCUUAUAUAUCCGAGAGGCCGGAGUUACAAAGAUGCUAACCAACCCCCGUCGAGGGAUCAUACCAGAACACAUCUCGAGAAGAUCCUCUCCGUGUUGGUUAGCUCUAUCUCCUAUUUAAACGGGAUAAACAAGAGAUAAACAAAAUGAAUAAGAGAUAAGACGGACUUAAUCUCUUAAACUAUGUGAUGUGCCCAACCCGGUGGCCCCGGGUCUGACAGGUAUGAAACGACUACCCACUCUUGAGGAUUGCCCAGAGUGUAAGCCUCAGAAACAAGAUGCAAGGGGUGCCUUAGUUUUUUGGCGUUUAGGGCCAGUGCAACCCCGUCAUGAACAAGUCGAGACAUCACGCGCAGGGGGCAAUUCAGAAGAUGAGGAGGACAAGUAUCACCGACCACGCUGGUGCCCUGAUGGGCUUAACCGGUCCCAGAAGCGGAGGGUGCAGUGACUACGCAGCCUCGAAGAAGCCGAGGCCCAAUAUUUGGAAACACUAAGGAAGGCGCGACCGGAUCUGGCGGAGAAAGUUCACUACCCCCACAGAGCAGAGGCAAGUCCUUCCAAGAAGGUGUGGCAUCCCAAGAAGUCAAAAGCCGAUGUAAAGACAUCAGCUGAUGCACACAUGGUUUUUGUUCUUCCUGCAGAGUUUCAUGCACUAGGCCAUGAGGAGUUGUCAGUGGCUCAGCUUGAUUUGGGGCUGCGACCAGUCAUAUUUGAGGAGCCCCGAGAGAAGAAUUACAGGCACCUGAAGGCUUUAUAUCUCAAGGGUUACAUAAACGGCCAAUCUGUCAGCAGGAUGCUAGUCGAUACAGGAGCAGCGGUUAACAUAAUGCCGUACUCAGUGCUGCGUAAGUUGGGGCAUUUUGUUGGGGAUUUGAUCAAAACUAACAUCACGUUAAGUGACUUCAACGGACAAAUAUCAGAAGCGCAAGGAGUCCUCAGCGUGGAUUUGACGGUAGAAGGCAAAACCGUCCCAACAUCGUCUUUUGUCGUCAACAGUAAGGGCUCGUACACCGUUCUGCUUGGGAGAGAUAGGAUCCAUGCCAAUUACUGUAUCCCUUCUACAAUGCACCAGUGUCUGAUUCAAUGGGAUGGAGAUGAAGUAGAAGUAGUCCACGCGGACGAUUCUGUUGAAGUUUCACAUGGCGCCAUGAGUGUCUGGGACGUGGAGGACCAGGAGCCGAUCUCAGGGAUUAGCUUGGAGGGCUGCGACCAUGUGGAAACUAAAAAAAAAA
RNAcentral lists this long non-coding RNA (12319 nucleotides) under Panicum hallii. RNAcentral's name for it is "long non-coding RNA (PHAL_LNC000933)". Lineage: Eukaryota; Viridiplantae; Streptophyta; Magnoliopsida; Poales; Poaceae. The record is from RNAcentral.